Molecule: ribosomal RNA, 550 nt
Filed under: uncultured bacterium
Lineage: Bacteria
Description: bacterial SSU rRNA
Rfam family: Bacterial small subunit ribosomal RNA
Source: RNAcentral
UAGGGAAUCUUCGGCAAUGGACGGAAGUCUGACCGAGCAACGCCGCGUGAGUGAAGAAGGUUUUCGGAUCGUAAAGCUCUGUUGUUAGAGAAGAACGUUGGUAGGAGUGGAAAAUCUACCAAGUGACGGUAACUAACCAGAAAGGGACGGCUAAGUNNGUGCCAGCAGCCGCGGUAAUACGUAGGUCCCGAGCGUUGUCCGGAUUUAUUGGGCGUAAAGCGAGCGCAGGCGGUUCUUUAAGUCUGAAGUUAAAGGCAGUGGCUUAACCAUUGUACGCUUUGGAAACUGGAGGACUUGAGUGCAGAAGGGGAGAGUGGAAUUCCAUGUGUAGCGGUGAAAUGCGUAGAUAUAUGGAGGAACACCGGUGGCGAAAGCGGCUCUCUGGUCUGUAACUGACGCUGAGGCUCGAAAGCGUGGGGAGCAAACAGGAUUAGAUACCCUGGUAGUCCACGCCGUAAACGAUGAGUGCUAGGUGUUAGGCCCUUUCCGGGGCUUAGUGCCGCAGCUAACGCAUUAAGCACUCCGCCUGGGGAGUACGACCGCAAGGUUG